CAACCUCAACUCAUAUGGGACUACCCCCUGAAUUUAAGCAUAUUAAUUAGGGGAGGAAAAGAAACUAACAAGGAUUUUCUUAGUAGCGGCGAGCGAAAAGAAAUCAGUUCAGCACUAAGUCACUUUGUCUAUAUGGCAAAUGUGAGAUGCAGUGUACGGAACAUCAACAUUCUAGUAUGAGAAGUUAACGAUUUAAGUCCUUCUUAAAUGAGGCCAUUUACCCAUAGAGGGUGCCAGGCCCGUAUAACGUUAAUGAUUACUAGAUGGUGUUUCCAAAGAGUCGUGUUGCUUGAUAGUGCAGCACUAAGUGGGUGGUAAACUCCAUCUAAAACUAAAUAUAACCAUGAGACCGAUAGUAAACAAGUACCGUGAGGGAAAGUUGAAAAGAACUCUGAAUAGAGAGUUAAAUAGUACGUGAAACUGCUUAGAGGUUAAGCCCGAUGAACCUGAAUAUCCGUUAUGGAAAAUUCAUCAUUAGAAUUGUAAUAUUUUAAACAAUAUUAUAAUAAUAGUGUGCAUUUUUUCCAUAUAAGGACAUUGUAAUCUAUUAGCAUAAAUAUUUAUCAUAAAAUUAUGUCUGAUUGCUUAUUUGAAUUAUAUGCUUGGCAUUUUACAUAAAAUAAAAGAUAUAAUUUGAUAAGUGCUGAUAGAUUUAUAUGAUUACAGUGCGUUAAUUUUUCGGAAUUAUAUAAUGGCAUAAUUAUCAUUGAUAUUUGUGUUUAUUAUAUGCAUUUGUAUGAUUAACAAUGCGAAAGAUUCAGGAUACCUUCGGGA
Molecule: non-coding RNA, 774 nt
Filed under: Drosophila virilis
Lineage: Eukaryota; Metazoa; Arthropoda; Insecta; Diptera; Drosophilidae
Description: Eukaryotic large subunit ribosomal RNA
Rfam family: Eukaryotic large subunit ribosomal RNA
Source: Rfam by way of RNAcentral